RNAcentral lists this ribosomal RNA (843 nucleotides) under uncultured bacterium. RNAcentral's name for it is "bacterial SSU rRNA". It matches the Rfam family "Bacterial small subunit ribosomal RNA", at positions 58 to 916 of the family's 1533-position model. The record is from RNAcentral.
CAAGUCGAGCGAUGAAACUACUUCGGUAGUGAAUUAGCGGCAAACGGGUGAGGAACACGUGAGGAAUCUGCCUUCAACACUGGGAUAACUCCGGGAAACCGGGGCUAAUACCGGAUACGAGCUCUGAUCGCAUGAUCGGGGCUGGAAAGUUUUUCGGUUGAAGAUGACCUCGCGGCCUAUCAGCUUGUUGGUGAGGUAAUGGCUCACCAAGGCGACGACGGGUAGCCGGCCUGAGAGGGCGACCGGCCACACUGGGACUGAGACACGGCCCAGACUCCUACGGGAGGCAGCAGUGGGGAAUAUUGGGCAAUGGAGGAAACUCUGACCCAGCGACGCCGCGUGCGGGAUGAAGGCCUUCGGGUUGUAAACCGCUUUCAGUAGGGAAGAAGCGAAAGUGACGGUACCUACAGAGGAAGCACCGGCUAACUAUGUGCCAGCAGCCGCGGUAAUACAUAGGGUGCAAGCGUUGUCCGGAAUUAUUGGGCGUAAAGAGCUCGUAGGUGGUUUGAUACGUCGGGUGUGAAAUUCAGGGGCUCAACCCCUGACCUGCAUUCGAUACGGUCAAGCUGGGGUUUGGUAGGGGAGACUGGAAUUCCUGGUGUAGCGGUGGAAUGCGCAGAUAUCAGGAGGAACACCGAUGGCGAAGGCAGGUCUCUGGGCCAAUACUGACACUGAGGAGCGAAAGCGUGGGGAGCGAACAGGAUUAGAUACCCUGGUAGUCCACGCCGUAAACGAUGGGCGCUAGUUGUGCGAACCUUCCACGGUUUGUGCGACGCAGCUAACGCAUUAAGCGCCCCGCCUGGGGAGUACGAUCGCAAGAUUAAAACUCAAAGGAAUUGACGG